This is a non-coding RNA of Chlorocebus sabaeus (green monkey), 7607 nucleotides long. NCBI's taxonomy places the organism in Eukaryota, Metazoa, Chordata, Mammalia, Primates, Cercopithecidae. The record is from RefSeq and is a predicted model, not a curated record.
GCGGCGGCGGGCGGCGGGCGAGCCGGCGCAGGAGCAGGAGGAGGGGGAGCCGCGCCGCCUGGGAGGGAAGCCGGGGCGAGGCGAGGAGGUGGCGGGAGGAGGAGACAGCGGGGAAAGGUGUCAGAUAAAGGAGGGCUCUCCUCCGGUGUGGAGGCAUCAUGGCCGCUAAAUCAGACGGGAGGCUGAAAAUGAAGAAGAGCAGCGACGUGGCGUUCACCCCGCUGCAGAACUCGGACCACUCGGGCUCGGUGCAGGGAUUGGCUCCGGGCUUGCCGUCGGGGUCGGGAGCCGAGGACGAGGAGGCGGCCGGAGGCGGCUGCUGCCCGGACGGCGGCGGCUGCUCGCGCUGCUGCUGCUGCUGCGCCGGGAGCGGCAGCUCCGGGGGCUCGGGCGGCUCCGGUGGCGUCGCCGGCCCGGGCAGCGGCGGGGCGGGCUCGGCGGCGCUGUGCCUGCGCCUGGGCAGGGAGCAGCGGCGCUACUCACUGUGGGACUGCCUCUGGAUCCUGGCCGCCGUGGCCGUGUACUUCGCGGACGUGGGUACGGACGUCUGGCUCGCCGUGGACUACUACCUGCGCGGCCAGCGCUGGUGGUUCGGGCUCACGCUCUUCUUCGUGGUGCUCGGCUCGCUGUCGGUGCAAGUGUUCAGCUUCCGCUGGUUUGUGCACGAUUUCAGCACCGAGGACAGCGCCACAGCCGCUGCUGCCUCCAGCUGUCCGCAACCUGGAGCCGAUUGCAAGACGGUGGUCGGCGGUGGGUCUGCAGCCGGAGAAGGCGAGGCUCGUCCUUCCACGCCGCAAAGGCAAGCAUCCAACGCCAGCAAGAGCAACAUCGCCGCGGCCAACAGCGGCAGCAACAGCAGCGGGGCUACCCGGGCCAGUGGCAAGCACAGGUCUGCGUCCUGCUCCUUCUGCAUCUGGCUCCUGCAGUCACUCAUCCACAUCUUGCAGCUCGGGCAAAUCUGGAGAUAUUUCCACACAAUAUACUUAGGUAUUCGAAGUCGACAGAGUGGGGAGAAUGACAGAUGGAGGUUUUACUGGAAAAUGGUAUAUGAGUAUGCGGAUGUGAGUAUGCUGCAUUUGCUAGCCACCUUUCUGGAAAGUGCUCCACAGCUGGUCCUGCAGCUCUGCAUUAUCGUACAGACUCAUAGCUUACAGGCCCUCCAAGGUUUCACAGCGGCAGCCUCUCUCGUGUCCCUGGCCUGGGCCUUGGCCUCCUAUCAGAAGGCCCUCCGGGACUCUCGAGAUGACAAGAAGCCCAUCAGCUACAUGGCGGUCAUCAUCCAGUUCUGCUGGCACUUCUUCACCAUCGCCGCCAGGGUCAUCACGUUUGCCCUCUUUGCCUCGGUUUUCCAGCUGUACUUUGGGAUCUUCAUCGUCCUUCACUGGUGCAUCAUGACCUUCUGGAUCGUCCACUGUGAGACAGAAUUCUGUAUCACCAAAUGGGAAGAGAUUGUGUUCGACAUGGUGGUGGGGAUUAUCUACAUCUUCAGUUGGUUCAAUGUCAAGGAAGGCAGGACACGCUGCAGGCUAUUCAUUUACUAUUUUGUGAUCCUUUUGGAAAAUACAGCCUUGAGUGCCCUCUGGUACCUCUACAAGGCUCCCCAGAUUGCAGACGCAUUUGCCAUUCCAGCGCUGUGUGUGGUGUUCAGCAGCUUUUUAACUGGCGUUGUUUUUAUGCUGAUGUAUUAUGCCUUCUUUCAUCCCAAUGGACCCAGAUUCGGGCAGUCACCAAGUUGUGCUUGUGAGGACCCAGCCGCUGCCUUCACUUUGCCCCCAGACGUGGCCACAAGCACCCUACGGUCCAUCUCAAACAACCGCAGUGUUGUCAGCGAGCGCGAUCAGAAAUUCGCAGAGCGGGAUGGGUGUGUACCUGUCUUUCAGGUGAGACCCACUGCCCCAUCCACCCCAUCAUCUCGCCCACCACGGAUUGAAGAAUCGGUCAUUAAAAUUGACUUGUUCAGGAAUAGGUACCCAGCAUGGGAGAGGCAUGUUUUGGACCGAAGCCUCCGAAAGGCUAUUUUAGCUUUUGAAUGUUCCCCAUCUCCUCCAAGGCUGCAGUACAAAGAUGAUGCCCUUAUUCAGGAGCGGUUGGAGUAUGAAACCACUUUAUAAAGCAAAAGGAGUUGCAGAACUCACAACAUCCAGAUGAAGGGGUGACAGCAGGGCUGUGGCCAUAAUGACACUUCAUCCUAGAGCAGGGCAGUGAGCUGUGAAGUUCCUAGUGUGACCGUCAUCACCAUUAUCAUUUGAUCCUGUUGACUGGGGGCAGCUGGUCUCCUUCCAAAGCAGCUGCACCCGAGGGUCUCUGACUCCACCUGAAAGAAUGACGCUGGCUUAGUAGGACUCUCCAUUGCUACCAAACUCCUCCUGCACGGUCUUGGGUGCACCCACCAGAGGGUACUAUUAUUAUGGAAAAUUUUGCCUCCAAUCAUUAGGGUGUCUUGAUGGUGUUAACUGAUCUUUCCAUAAAAAUAGAUUCAGUCAUACACACAUACACACACUAACACCAGUCCUCUCUCAAAAAAGCUUAGGUGACUUUUCUUGAUGCAAAGCUCUGAUUCCCGCAGGAAUAUAAAAACAAAGAAAGAGAGAAAUAUCCCUCGAGAAAAAAAAAAUAGUAUUGCUUAGAAAAGAAUUCAUAAACCAUUUUCUUAUUUGGAAAUCCAUACCACUUGUGAAAAUCCUAUCCAAUGGACAGCAAACCCAAAUGUUGUUUACACAUGUGUUAGCAUUGAUGGAAUGGUUCAUUUUCUACACAUUUCAGGAUUUGUUUUAUAUUUUAAAUUUUCUGUUGUGAACAUCCUUUUUGACAGAAAUCCUAUGCAGCCCAUGUACGGCUUUCGACAAGACCAAGGAGCUCAAUAACUUUAUGAUGUAAAUUAAAUAGUAAUCAUGAUUCAGUAUUCAAUUGCAAAAAUGUAAUAGGUACACAAAGAGGAAGUGGGGAAAAAGGCAAAAUGAGAGUCUGAUUCCCAGGCAUGUGCCGCGCCUAUUGGGACAUAACGGCAGUGCUGCACGAACCAGAGGAAUGGGCUGCAACCGGAUCUGUUUCCAGACGCAGAAUGAGUGGCUCUGUGUGACAAUAGGCAGACGCCGACUCUGGAAGAUGCCGUGCCACUCCUUUCUAGUGCCAAACACCAUCCAACCACAGGACUGACGUGGAAGCCCCGAACAACUGAGAAUGAUUGGCAUGAGCCCCCUAAAAGCAGGCAAGAGAACGAGCAAUCAAGUUCUCCACUGUGUACAGACUUUUGCUUCCCGCAAUCCAAGGUCAAAGUGAUAUGUCUUUUAGAGGCUUUGGGACACUUUUUAGUAAGUAUGAGCAGACAGAUGCAAUGAAUAUGCUAUGAAAAAACCCUUCUGAACUGAUAGAGGGCUUAUCACUAUAUCCAGCUAAGAUUUGUAUUUGAAUCAUCUGUAAAGUCGCACUCUUACAACAAGCUUCUGGGUUUUAAAUACCUCCGUACAGCAAGUAAACGUUCCCCGCUUUCUGUUCUCAGUGUCCUUGGUCAUGGUGCUUUUCGUUGCAUUAAAAGUGCCGGUCAAACUUUGAUAGUAUUUUUUUAUAGUUGGUGCAGAGUGGAAUAACUCAUGGAUUAUUUCAAUAUUUUUGUAAUAAAAAAUAUAGGGUAUACACAUAGGCAUCAUCACUUUUUUUAUAGACCUGGAGUCGUUUAAAAUACUUUAAGCGUCAUAAUUACUUGGGAUGUCAGAACCUGGUCCACAAAUUCCAUCAGCCUGCCUCAGCAGAUUGAAAACAUUUGUCUCUUGCAAGAUCACCCUACUUUGCAAGUUGGUGCCCCCAGGAACCUGGCCAGGGGUGCUAUCAGAAUAUCAGGUGAAGAGAGAAUCAGCUUAAUAGAAAGGGCUUGUCAAGACUGGCCAAUGUUUCCCAGGAAAUCAAAGAUGUAGAUGAUUACUUUCAUCCAUCCAUUAUAACAAACCUGACCACAGUGGAAGAUGUCUUAAACUUCCUUCCCUGGUUUUAUAUUAACCCAACUGAUAGAUUAAGUAUUAGCCAAACCACUAAAAAAGAAAAAAGAGAAAAGUUUAACUUAAUUAUUUGGUUAUUUGGACUAAUUCACAUAAAGUAGUCCAGUUCUCUAGCCACCACCUGUAAUGGAUGUGUCAUCCAGAGACUGUGUCCCCACAAUGACAUCACAGGAAGUAACAGAGGGCUCAACCUAGGACUUCUUUUGGUACAAAGCCCCAAAUCAAUUUUUUUUUUAAAAUAGACAAUUUUUGUAAGUAGACAUACUUCCUAGUACUCCAUGAUUUGAUCCUCCAAGCAAGAUUUCCACUAAAAAAUACUAAUCUUUUGUUGGGAUGUGGGAAGAUUACCUAGUCACCAGUAAAGGCCCAGGAAAAGGCUCUUGUUGUCAGCACAUGGUGAAAACAUUCCACCCCCCAUUGUAGAAGGAAAAAAAUGAUGAUUUUGGCAAAUUCUUCACUUUUGUGCAGAACCUUGAGUUAUUAGCUUCGUUGUUUCCAAGACAACUUUUAACUGAUGAUCUUUGGAAAUUGAGUUUCUCAGUUGAACUAUACCUUUGAUUCUAUGAGUAAAUCACAGAUUACAAUCUAAUAGAGUCAAUCAAUCAACACAAACCCAACAGGCCCCAUCAUGCUUCAAUCAUAUGUAGCAUGUCUGAAGGUCUGCAAGAUGACAGAGUUGUAACCCAUUCAAUGAUACUGUUGCCUAGUAAGCUGUGUGUGUGCUGUUUGAACUGAUACUAAAAAGGUAGCCGAUAAUAAACCAAAAAUUUUCUCAACCCUGGUGUUUAUUUUUAAAAAAUCUUCAACGAUCAAUAUGAAUGUAGUAUAUUAAAAUACAAGUAACUAUCUUCCUGCUUUGAUUUAAGAGAUCUUUAUGAAUUUACGUAAAAUUAGAAGUCACUGAUUUUUAUAGGAAAUAGCAUGUAAAAGAAAUCUAAGUGUUGCUUUAUCACUUUAUUUUAUAGAUGAGACAACUGAGAUCCAAAAAGAACAGGUAAUUUUUGUCAUCAGGAUUACACAUUACAGUUUUAUUUUUUCCCUGAGUCAUUUAUUCAACAAUUAUGACCUCUGCAACUCUUAUGACUAGGCAAUGCACAGUCAAGCACAAAAGGAAAGUUGUAUCAGAAUAGUUCACAGUCUAGCUAUUAGCAGCACAAUCAUAGUUUUCUGACAUCAACUCUUACUCUUUUCUACUCUACCACACUACUUCUUCUCAAUAUCUAUAUUUAAUUCCAUAUUGAAGCAAGAAAGAAACACAGAUUUUCUAAGACUAUACAGUCAUAUGUCACUUAAGGAUGGGGAUACAUUCUGAGAUAUGCAUCGUCAGGCAAUUUCAUCAUUGUGUGAUGGAGUGCGCUUACACAAGCUUAGAUGGUAGAGCCUACCACACUCCUAGGCUGUAUGGUAGAGCCUAUUGUCCCCAGGCUACAAACCUGUACAGCAUGCUACCAUACGGAAUACUGUAGGCAACUGUAACACCAUGGUAAGUACUUGUGUAUUUAAGCAGAAAAGUUACAGUAAAAAAUGUAGUAUUAUUGUCUUAUGGGAUCGCUGUCAUAUGUGCAGUCUGUUGUUGAACAAAAUGUCAUUGUGUAGCAUGUAAACCUCACACUAAACAGUUACCAUAUAAAAUAAUGAUGACAAGCAUAAAGUAACAAUACGAAUACAAAAAAGAAUCAACACUAGAUGACUGCUUAUAAAAAGUAAUUUUAUAAUUUGUUUAUAUGACUCUCCACAACACUAGAUAUUUUUAAAUUGAUAUCACAGCACAACAAAAAAAUUGAAAUACUCUCUUGGCGCAUAGUAUUUGAUUGAAAACAAUCAUUUUUGGAUAAACUUUGGAGCGAUUCUUGAGAGUUUAUUUCAAGAAAAGGCAUGAAAUUAGGGAGUCUCCAAAGUGAAGAGUUUUCCAAUAGGUGACUUCUCUGAUUUUUCAAGAAAGCAUUCUUCACUUACUGUGUUUCUCCAGCAUACUGGUUAUUUAGGAAUAACAAAUUUCCAGAUAUAAACAUCAGCUGUUGCUCUAAAGCCUUUCCUCCGAUGCCCAGAAGAGCAGCACUGUGCUGCAUGACAAUUUCAAGAGUCAGGAGUCAAGACAGUCAGCCCCAGCUCCUUGGGGAAACCCACACUGGCUUUGGACCGGAUUGCAUUCUCUCCUGCAAUGUGGCCCUGAGUGAUUGGCUUCCCACAUAUGUAAGGAGCAGAUUGUUAAAGAUCACUAUUAACUUGUAUAACUAAUUUUCCUUAUGUGAAAUAAUUCUGGGCAGGGAAUAUAUAAACCCAUUGACCCUCCAUGGAGUAGAAGAAAAGAGAGAAGAAAGCAUAUUAACUUUUAUGAGUAUAGAAUAAUUCAAAUUCCUUGGCAAGUCACAUUAUGCAUUAAUAAAAGAGUUGACCUAAUAAAUGUUACAAGGUACCGUGAUCUCUAGGUUCAUGCCACCAUUACCACAUUCCUUACUACAAUUAUUGCUACUUUAGUCAUUGGACCAGACAAAAAGAAGCAUGUAGUUACGGAUAUAAUAUUUGCUAGGCAAAGAUCUUGUUUAACAAAACAAAUCAACAAUAAAACUAAUUAAUCAAAAUAUUAAGCCAAUAUUACCAGCACAGUACUCACACAAAAUUUUCUCUUGUGCUAAUAAUUGAUGCAUAUCAUCUACCCUGUUAUCAGAAUUUCAGAAAAUAUAAAGUUUUGUGUUUUUAUUAUAUUUCCAUCUACCACAUUGUUGACCUUCUCCUCCUCUCCAUUGCUUAAUUUGUAUUAAAAUGGAUUUAAUCAAAUUAUUACAUCAUUUAAGUACUACAAAUGUUAUCAGACGGAGAUGUGGUUAAGCUAAUUUAAUUUACCUGUUCUAGUGGCAUUCUGGUAUGGAGCUGUAUCAAAUCAACACUUUUAAUUAUUUCAGAUUAAUUCAUCAAGAAGUUCCAAAACACUACUAAAUGUGUUGAAAAUAUAGUUUGGGUUUCUAUGAUCGUAAUCAAAAUUCCUAUUUUGAUCACACACCAGUAGAACCCAUUGCAAGCCACUGUGAGUCUGGAAAAUGAGCACUUUGUGUGUUGAGCACUGUUGCAUUCACUUAGCAAUUAACCUUUGACCUGCGGUUUUCUGCUGAGCCCCUUGUGAUGUUUUUUAUUCUAUUCAGAUUGGAAGCAAUAACACACCUUAACAUAACCAAAGGAGACCUGUCAGCUAGUGGAAUAAUUGUCAUUUUAUAUCAUUCUUUUAAAAAAUUAAAAUAUUCAACUUCCCUUAUUAACCUUUCUAAUGCAUUGUACAUAAAAAAGGAAAUGGAUUUCUGAAGCAUAUUUUGAAAGCCUGGGGUGAAACAUUUUCCACGGUCUGAAUCGGAGGCUUGGGGCUCUGUGGAAAGAUGUAAAUCCCUCCUGCUGUAAGAGGGAGAAAGGCAGCAGUGAGCUGUCACUCAGAAAUACAGUCUCCACUGUCGCAAAGCUGCCUAUUGCUGAUGCUAUCGAUUCCCUUCUUUUUCCACAGAAACAUCUUGGAGCUUGUCAAGCUUUACUGGAGGUGAUUUGCAGUUAAUUAAUUCAACAGACACUUUAAUCUUGCAAAUUCUUGACUUGUAAUAUUGUAACGAAGCUCCUGCAAGGGAGCAUUAA